RNAcentral lists this ribosomal RNA (477 nucleotides) under uncultured soil bacterium. RNAcentral describes it as "bacterial SSU rRNA". It matches the Rfam family "Bacterial small subunit ribosomal RNA", at positions 26 to 518 of the family's 1533-position model. The record is from RNAcentral.
AGGAUGAACGCUGGCGGCGUGCUUAACACAUGCAAGUCGAACGAUGACCCGGUGCUUGCACCGGUGAUUAGUGGCGAACGGGUGAGUAACACGUGAGUAACCUGCCCUUAACUCUGGGAUAAGCCUGGGAAACUGGGUCUAAUACCGGAUAUGACUCCUCAUCGCAUGGUGGGGGUGAAAGCUUUAUUGUGGUUUGGAUGGACUCGCGGCCUAUCAGCUUGUUGGUGAGGUAAUGGCUCACCAAGGCGACGACGGGUAGCCGGCCUGAGAGGGUGACCGGCCACACUGGGACUGAGACACGGCCCAGACUCCUACGGGAGGCAGCAGUGGGGAAUAUUGCACAAUGGGCGAAAGCCUGAUGCAGCGACGCCGCGUGAGGGAUGACGGCCUUCGGUUGUAAACCGCUUUCAGUAGGAAGAAGCGAAAGUGACGGUACCUGCAGAAGAAGCGACCGGCUAACACGUGCCGAGCAGCCGC